AAACAAAGGGCCAUUUGAAAACGUUUCGAAACUUGUAUGAAGGAUUUCCUUUCAGUCUUUUUCUCUGGGAGAGAACAAACCAAGGUAGAGCUCACUUUCCUUGUCCAAAAGAACCACACAGAAAUGCCACAGGCAACGUAGACCGGGAAACCCCGCAAACCAUAAAGAUUGCAGAUUUCCUUUCAAUCAAAACGAAAAUGUCCCUCCUUCUCUCCAAUCCUCUCACCUCUCUCUCUCUUCACUUCCCCCACUUUCAUCUCCAACUUUGGCCUUCAGUGCAACCCCAGGUUCAACCAGUUCUUGGAUGCUCGUGCUUUCUAAAUUAUUUAGAUGAAGACUGGUCUUUUCUCUGUUAUAACCACCGAUUCAAUUGUGAUACCGGUUUUGCCCUUGGUGAAUUCAUUGCUAGGUGUUGUAGGGCGGGUGCUGUCUUGGUUUUUGUUUGCUUUCUUUGUUAGGGGCAGGGUGAGGCAGGGGAGCGUCAACCACUUUUUCCUGCUGUGGGCCAGGGCUUCCUGUGGGCAUGCAGGCUUUGUGUUCGUGCCUCUUCGUUUCCUAGGGGAUUGGAUUUCUUUCUUUAGUCAUGGUUUGUUUUGAGGGUGUCUAACCUCCCUUCUCUGUUUCAAUCUGCCUGCAGAGUGUGCGACAGGGGGGUUAUUGCUCUAUGGAUUGGAUAUUGAUUUGGGUCCUGUUUCUUUGUGCAUUUGGGGGAAUGGCAUGCUACUGUUUGAUGUCUUUUCUUCUGGUGGGGAGUAGGUAGAGUAGUUUGGAUUUGGCGUCCUUCAUCAGUUGCAUCUUCGUUUUCAGGUUUAGCUUCUGCUCAUUGGGCUUGAGCUGGCAGAGUUCCAGUUUUGUGGUCUGCCAUGCUGGUUCUUUUGUUGAGAUGCUGCUAUGACAAGUUUGAAAAUCUCUUAUUGCUUUAUGAUAUUUGUCUUGGGCGGCAUUCCAUGUUGAUAUGUUUUUGCAGCAGGGAUUAGUUUUUAUAUUCGUGUUGUUGGCUUCUGUUUUGGUUGUCUGUGGUCUGUUGCUUUUAAGGUUAUUUGUCGCUGGUGCUUUUGUUUUUAUUACUGCUUUGCUGUUGAGGGGGGUUCUGUUACUGUCUGUGUCCAAAUAUGUUAGGGUUUCUCGUCCGGGGAGGGUGGCUUCCGGGAAACGUGCAUGGUAGGGGUGGUUUGGAUAAAAUGAAAGAUCUCGAUGCAUCAUUGUUAGAUGGUUUUGCUGUGGAUUUUUGUUUUGCUUUGGUGGUCUUUGUGCACAUUCUGAACUUAAAGGCCACUUAAAGACCAUGAAGGGUCUUCCUAGACUAAGGUUAAAGUGCUUGGUCUGUGCAGAAAACUUUUUUGCAAGGUUCAUGUUCUCUUUUCUUUCAAGCUUUGGCCUUUGUCAGUUGCACUGUCAGUUCAGUCAUGGUUGAUUGUUUAAUUGGUUUGCCAUUUGUCUUUUGAGGCUGAUUUUAUUUGUUGUUCAUGCAGGGGCCUUUGGUCAUCUUUGCUCGGCCAUCUUUUAAACUUCAGACCCUUCUGCUCUCUGCAUCUUGGUUUCCCUUCAAUUGAAUUAUAGAGUUCAAUGCAUAUUUAUGGAUGUGGAGCUUGAGGAAAUUUCUCUAAUCAACAAAAAAACAAACAUUGACUUGCGAAUUUAGCAUUUUGAUUUAGAAAAAACAUGCCAAACAUCAUAGAAUUUGACAUUUCGCUUUAAAGCAUGGAGUUUACAUUUACUUAGAUUUACUUUGGGAUAGAACCUCAGUUGAAGGAGAUGUUAGGUCUUUGAUUGGUUCCAUUCUCUUAUUUUUUUUUCAGUUGAUAAUUCAGCUCAUUUAAUCAUUGAAGAUGGUUCUGUCGGUUUGAGAGAGCCACGGUCAAUGACUUACAGAAUUUGUCAGAUGGUGUUACGUUGUCCUUGGCAUCUUGAGAAUGAGAAGACACAGUUCCUUUUUUUGAUAUACUAUGAUGUGUAAGGUCAGCAAGCAUGUGGAAAUAGAAAACAGAUGAUAUUAAUUUGUUUAGUUGUUGAUGUCGUCUGUUUGCUUCUUUUGUUGGAUCCUAUUCAUAUUUACUUCCUGGUUGCUUUUUUCUC
Populus nigra (black poplar) is the source of this 2076-nucleotide RNA transcript. RefSeq lists it as uncharacterized. NCBI's taxonomy places the organism in Eukaryota, Viridiplantae, Streptophyta, Magnoliopsida, Malpighiales, Salicaceae. The transcript is spliced from 6 exons. The record is from RefSeq and is a predicted model, not a curated record.